AUUGAACGCUGGCGGCAUGCUUUACACAUGCAAGUCGAACGGUAACAGGUUAAGCUGACGAGUGGCGAACGGGUGAGUAAUGCAUCGGAACGUGCCCGGUCGUGGGGGAUAACGCAGCGAAAGCUGCGCUAAUACCGCAUACGAUCUAAGGAUGAAAGCGGGGGACCGUAAGGCCUCGCGCGAUCGGAGCGGCCGAUGUCAGAUUAGGUAGUUGGUGGGGUAAAGGCUCACCAAGCCAACGAGCUGUAGCUGGUCUGAGAGGACGACCAGCCACACUGGGACUGAGACACGGCCCAGACUCCUACGGGAGGCAGCAGUGGGGAAUUUUGGACAAUGGGCGAAAGCCUGAUCCAGCAAUGCCGCGUGCAGGAAGAAGGCCUUCGGGUUGUAAACUGCUUUUGUACGGAGCGAAAAGGUCUCCUCUAAUACAGGGGGCUCAUGACGGUACCGUAAGAAUAAGCACUGGCUAACUACGUGCCAGCAGCCGCCGUAA
This 493-nucleotide ribosomal RNA is filed under the name uncultured bacterium. RNAcentral describes it as "partial 16S ribosomal RNA". It matches the Rfam family "Bacterial small subunit ribosomal RNA", at positions 29 to 523 of the family's 1533-position model. The record is from RNAcentral.